UACGAGAGGCCCAAACAUUAUUCGGAAUUACUGGGCGUAAAGCGUGCGCAGGCGGUUUUGUAAGCCAGAUGUGAAAUCCCCGGGCUCAACCUGGGAAUGGCAUUUGGGACUGCAAGGCUUGAGUGCGGCAGAGGAGACUGGAAUUCCUGGUGUAGCAGUGAAAUGCGUAGAUAUCAGGAGGAAUACCGAUGGCGAAGGCAGGUCUCUGGGCUGACACUGACGCUCAUGCACGAAAGCGUGGGGAGCAAACAGG
Molecule: ribosomal RNA, 253 nt
Filed under: uncultured bacterium
Lineage: Bacteria
Description: partial 16S ribosomal RNA
Rfam family: Bacterial small subunit ribosomal RNA
Source: RNAcentral